GACGUACGCUGGCGGCGUGCUUAACACAUGCAAGUCGAACGAUGAAGCCGGAGCUUGCUCUGGUGAAUUAGUGGCGAACGGGUGAGUAACACGUGAGUAACCUGCCCUUGACUCUGGGAUAACUGCGGGAAACUGUAGCUAAUACCGGAUACGACCAUCGGAGGCAUCUCCUGGGGGUGGAAAGAAUUUCGGUCAAGGAUGGACUCGCGGCCUAUCAGCUAGUUGGUGAGGUAAAGGCUCACAAAGGCGACGACGGGUAGCCGGCCUGAGAGGGUGGCCGGCCACACUGGGACUGAGACACGGCCCAGACUCCUACGGGAGGCAGCAGUGGGGAAUAUUGCACAAUGGGCGCAAGCCUGAUGCAGCAACGCCGCGUGAGGGAUGACGGCCUUCGGGUUGUAAACCUCUUUUAGCAGGGAAGAAGCGAAAGUGACGGUACCAGCAGAAAAAGCACCGGCUAACUACGUGCCAGCCGCCGCGGUAA
RNAcentral lists this ribosomal RNA (484 nucleotides) under uncultured bacterium. RNAcentral's name for it is "partial 16S ribosomal RNA". It matches the Rfam family "Bacterial small subunit ribosomal RNA", at positions 28 to 523 of the family's 1533-position model. The record is from RNAcentral.